ACCGAUAGUGAACCAGUACCGUGAGGGAAAGGCGAAAAGAACCCCGGCGAGGGGAGUGAAAUAGAACCUGAAACCGUGUACGUACAAGCAGUGGGAGCCUUGAUUUAUCAGGGUGACUGCGUACCUUUUGUAUAAUGGGUCAGCGACUUAUAUUCUGUAGCAAGGUUAACCGUAUAGGGGAGCCGUAGGGAAACCGAGUCUUAACUGGGCGAAUGAGUUGCAGGGUAUAGACCCGAAACCCGGUGAUCUAGCCAUGGGCAGGUUGAAGGUUGGGUAACACUAACUGGAGGACCGAACCGACUAAUGUUGAAAAAUUAGCGGAUGACUUGUGGCUGGGGGUGAAAGGCCAAUCAAACCGGGAGAUAGCUGGUUCUCCCCGAAAGCUAUUUAGGUAGCGCCUCGUGAACUCAUCUUCGGGGGUAGAGCACUGUUUCGACUAGGGGGUCAUCCCGACUUACCAACUCGAUGCAAACUACGAAUACCGAAGAAUGUUAUCACGGGAGACACACGGCGGGUGCUAACGUUCGUCGUGAAGAGGGAAACAACCCAGACCGCCAGCUAAGGUCCCAAAGUCAUAGUUAAGUGGGAAACGAAGUGGGAAGGCUCAGACAGCCAGGAUGUUGGCUUAGAAGCAGCCAUCAUUUAAAGAAAGCGUCAUAGCUCACUGGUCGAGUCGGCCUGCGCGGAAGAUGUAACGGGGCUAAACUAUGCACCGAAGCUGCGGCAGCGAUAUGUAAAUAUUGUUGGGUAGGGGAGCGUUCUGUAAGCCUGU
This 772-nucleotide ribosomal RNA is filed under the name Vibrio parahaemolyticus. RNAcentral describes it as "partial 23S ribosomal RNA". It matches the Rfam family "Bacterial large subunit ribosomal RNA", at positions 483 to 1252 of the family's 2925-position model. Lineage: Bacteria; Pseudomonadati; Pseudomonadota; Gammaproteobacteria; Vibrionales; Vibrionaceae. The record is from RNAcentral.